UAGGGAAUCUUCCGCAAUGGACGCAAGUCUGACGGAGCAACGCCGCGUGAGUGAAGAAGGAUUUCGGUUCGUAAAACUCUGUUGUUAGAGAAGAACAGCGCAUAGAGUAACUGUUAUGCGUGUGACGGUAUCUAACCAGAAAGCCACGGCUAACUACGUGCCAGCAGCCGCGGUAAUACGUAGGUGGCAAGCGUUGUCCGGAUUUAUUGGGCGUAAAGCGAGCGCAGGCGGUCAAUUAAGUCUGAUGUGAAAGCCCCCGGCUCAACCGGGGAGGGUCAUUGGAAACUGGUUGACUUGAGUGCAGGAGAGGGGAGUGGAAUUCCAUGGGGAGCGGUGAAAUGCGUAGAUAUAUGAAGGAAAACGAGUGGCGAAGGCGACUCUCUGGUCUGUAACUGACGCGGAGGCUCGAAAGCGUGGGUAGCAAACAGG
Molecule: ribosomal RNA, 429 nt
Filed under: Bacteroidota bacterium
Lineage: Bacteria; Pseudomonadati; Bacteroidota
Description: Bacteroidetes bacterium partial 16S ribosomal RNA
Rfam family: Bacterial small subunit ribosomal RNA
Source: RNAcentral